UGGAGGCAACUCAUGAUCCAGCCAUGCCGCGUGCAGGAAGACUGCCCUAUGGGUUGUAAACUGCUUUUAUAUAGGAAGAAACCUUUCCACGUGUGGAGAGCUGACGGUACUAUAAGAAUAAGGAUCGGCUAACUCCGUGCCAGCAGCCGCGGUAAUACGGAGGAUCCAAGCGUUAUCCGGAAUCAUUGGGUUUAAAGGGUCCGUAGGUGGAUAAUUAAGUCAGAGGUGAAAGUUUGCGGCUCAACCGUAAAAUUGCCUUUGAUACUGGUUAUCUUGAAUCAUUGUGAAGUGGUUAGAAUAU
This 301-nucleotide ribosomal RNA is filed under the name uncultured bacterium. RNAcentral describes it as "bacterial SSU rRNA". It matches the Rfam family "Bacterial small subunit ribosomal RNA", at positions 372 to 669 of the family's 1533-position model. The record is from RNAcentral.